UACAGAGGUCUCAAGCGUUGUUCGGAUUCAUUGGGCGUAAAGGGUGCGUAGGUGGCGCCGUAAGUCGGGUGUGAAAGCCCUCGGCUCAACCGAGGAAUUGCGCUCUAAACUGCUGUGCUUGAGGGACCUAGAGGUGAGCAGAACUGAUGGUGGAGCGGUGAAAUGCGUUGAUAUCAUCAGGAAUACCGGAGGCGAAGGCGGCUCACUGGGGGUCUUCUGACGCUGAGGAACGAAAGCCAGGGGAGCGAACGGG
This 253-nucleotide ribosomal RNA is filed under the name uncultured bacterium. RNAcentral describes it as "partial 16S ribosomal RNA". It matches the Rfam family "Bacterial small subunit ribosomal RNA", at positions 524 to 776 of the family's 1533-position model. The record is from RNAcentral.